AGUCCAUUGUGUGGGCAGCAUCGUAGUAAGUCCUUAUACGUCUCCCAAGUAUCAUACAUCGACUCAUCAUCAAACUACACAAAAGAAGAUAUGUCAUUUCUAAGUUU
Molecule: small nucleolar RNA, 107 nt
Filed under: Ricinus communis (castor bean)
Lineage: Eukaryota; Viridiplantae; Streptophyta; Magnoliopsida; Malpighiales; Euphorbiaceae
Description: Plant small nucleolar RNA R71
Rfam family: Plant small nucleolar RNA R71
About the family: R71 is a member of the C/D box family of snoRNAs containing the C (UGAUGA) and D (CUGA) box motifs. Multiple nearly identical copies of this snoRNA have been identified in Arabidopsis, and it is thought to function as a 2'-O-ribose methylation guide for 18S ribosomal RNA.
Source: Rfam by way of RNAcentral